This 370-nucleotide ribosomal RNA is filed under the name uncultured bacterium. RNAcentral's name for it is "bacterial SSU rRNA". It matches the Rfam family "Bacterial small subunit ribosomal RNA", at positions 527 to 895 of the family's 1533-position model. The record is from RNAcentral.
GUAGGGUCCAAGCGUUAAUCGGAAUUACUGGGCGUAAAGCGUGCGUAGGCGGUCUCGCAAGUCCGAUGUGAAAUCCCCGGGCUUAACCUGGGAACUGCGUUGGAAACUAUGAGGCUCGAGUGCGGCAGAGGGGGGUGGAAUUCCAGGUGUAGCAGUGAAAUGCGUAGAGAUCUGGAGGAACACCGAUGGCGAAGGCAGCCCCCUGGGCUAGCACUGACGCUCAUACACGAAAGCGUGGGGAGCAAACAGGAUUAGAUACCCUGGUAGUCCACGCCCUAAACUAUGGCAACUAGUUGUUGGAGGGAUGAACUCCUUUAGUAACGCAGCUAACGCGUGAAGUUGCCCGCCUGGGGAGUACGGUCGCAAGAUU